GCUGGGCGUGGUGGCGGGCGCCUGUGAUCCCAGCUACUCAGGAGGCUGAGGCACGAGAAUCGCUUGAACCCAGGAGGUGGAGGUUGCAGUGAGC
MicroRNA precursor from Pan paniscus (pygmy chimpanzee), 94 nucleotides. The record is from Ensembl. NCBI's taxonomy places the organism in Eukaryota, Metazoa, Chordata, Mammalia, Primates, Hominidae.